This 506-nucleotide ribosomal RNA is filed under the name uncultured bacterium. RNAcentral's name for it is "partial 16S ribosomal RNA". It matches the Rfam family "Bacterial small subunit ribosomal RNA", at positions 28 to 523 of the family's 1533-position model. The record is from RNAcentral.
GAUGAACGCUAGCUACAGGCUUAACACAUGCAAGUCGAGGGGUAACAAGAGAAAAGCUUGCUUUUCUUGUUGACGACCGGCGCACGGGUGAGUAACGCGUAUCCAACCUGCCCAUAACUAGGGAAUAACCUUGCGAAAGUAAGACUAAUACCCUAUAAUUUCCUUUGACGGCAUCUGACGAGGAAUAAAGAUUUAUCGGUUAUGGAUGGGGAUGCGUCUGAUUAGCUUGUUGGCGGGGUAACGGCCCACCAAGGCAACGAUCAGUAGGGGUUCUGAGAGGAAGGUCCCCCACAUUGGAACUGAGAUACGGUCCAAACUCCUACGGGAGGCAGCAGUGAGGAAUAUUGGUCAAUGGGCGGAAGCCUGAACCAGCCAAGUAGCGUGCAGGAUGACGGCCCUAUGGGUUGUAAACUGCUUUUAUACAGGAAUAAAGAUAGCCACGUGUGGUUAUUUGUAGGUACUGUAUGAAUAAGGACCGGCUAAUUCCGUGCCAGCAGCCGCCGUAA